Molecule: long non-coding RNA, 1038 nt
Filed under: Capra hircus (goat)
Lineage: Eukaryota; Metazoa; Chordata; Mammalia; Artiodactyla; Bovidae
Description: lncRNA (ENSCHIG00010029397.1)
Source: RNAcentral
AUGUUUUCCCAUAAGAAUUUCAUAGCACUCAGCCUUACAUUUGGGUCUUUAGUCCAUUUUGGGUUUAUUGUUAUGAACAGUGUUACAGAGUGUUCUACUUUCAUUCUUUCAUGUCUAACUGUCCAGUUUUCCCUUCACCACUCUUUAGAGAUUGUCUUUUCUCCACCGUGUAUUUUUGCCCUUUUGGUCAGAGGGAUGGAUGUGAAUCUGAGUGAACUCUGGGAGUUGGUGAUGGACAGGGAGGCCUGGCGUGAUUUAUGGGAUUGCAAAGAGUCAGAUAUGACUGAGCGACUGAACUGAACUGAACUAGGUGACCAUAGGUGCCUGGGUUUUUCUCUGGACUUUCUGUGCUGCUCCAUUGGUCUCUGUUUCCGUUUUUGUGUGAGUACCAUACUGUUUUGAUGACUGUAGCUUUUUAGUAUAGUCUAACUCAGGGACCCUGAUUCCUCCAGCUCCAUUUUUCUUCCUCACGAUUGCUUUGGCAAUUUGGGCUCUUCUGUGUUUCCAUACAAAUUGUAGACUUGUUUUGUCCUGAUUCUGUGAAAACUGCCAUUGAUAAUUUGAUAGGGCUUGCAUUGAGUUUGUAGAUGGCUUUGAGUAAGACAGUCGUGUUCACAAUGUUCCAUCUUCCGAUCCAAGAACAUGGGAUAUCUCUCCAUCUGGUUUGGUCAUCUUCUAUUUCUUUCCUUGGGAUAUUGUAGUUUCCAGAGGAUAGAUCUUUUGCCUCCUUAGGUAGGUUUAUUCCUCGGUAUUGUAUUCUUUUUAAUGGGGUGGUUAAUGGGAUUGUUUCCUUGAGUUCUUUUCCUACUCUUUCACUGUGGGUGUGUUGGAAUGCAAGAGAUUUCAGUGUAUUGAUUUUGCUCCUGCAACGUUACCAGAUUCGUUGGUGAGCUCUAGUAGUUUUCUGCAGCAUCUUUAGGGUUUUCUGUGUUUAGUGCGAUGUCCUCUGCAAACAAGGACAGUUUCGCCUCUUCUCAAGUUUGGAUUCCAUUUAUUUCUUUUUCUUCUCUGUUUGCUGUGGUGAGGACUUCUAAGACG